Long non-coding RNA from Cinclus cinclus, 673 nucleotides. RefSeq lists it as uncharacterized. The transcript has 2 exons. Lineage: Eukaryota; Metazoa; Chordata; Aves; Passeriformes; Cinclidae. The record is from RefSeq and is a predicted model, not a curated record.
UUCCUUUCCCAAAGAAAAGAAAACAGCAUUUCAGGUUAGCCUGACACGAAGAAACAACUUCUGGCUCAGAAAAUCCACAGAGCAGACUCCUGCAAGCUGGAUAGCUUUGCUAAUAGUGCCCUUCCUGGCAGUAGCUCCUGUGGCCCAAGUGUCACCCCUCCACCUGCACAGGCACUUCAGGGUCCUCCCAGUGACCAGAACACCAGGGCUACUCCCAUACCUUGUUUUGUUGCGUUAGCUGAUCACCCCAAGCCUCUCUCACGUGCUUCCUGUGCAGCUUUGGCUCCACCUGGAGAUGCAACAGAUGCAAGCAGCAGGGAUAUCAGUGCCAGAGGUUCUGUCCCCGAGGAUCUUCCAGGCUCUCCAGAGCACCACCUUGCCCUGAAAUCCCAGUAGGAUCUGCCUCUGCUCAGGAGGGCUCAUCUGAGUGUCUAGGUGCCCACCAGGUCCUGAGCUGAGGGUCAUUAUCACAUGGGAAACACCAUGGUGACAGUGACAGGACUGCAAUUUUGGAGCAGAACAUGGGUGGAAUAAAGAAUGACGAAGCACCACAGCACGUCAGAACUUGGGGCAUUUGCUGUGAUGCGAGGUGCGUGACAACAGCAGAGAUACGAUGACUUUCAAGUUGAAAACUGGUUUAAUAAAUAUAAAGCAGGGACUCAAGAGGAAGCAA